Molecule: ribosomal RNA, 495 nt
Filed under: uncultured bacterium
Lineage: Bacteria
Description: partial 16S ribosomal RNA
Rfam family: Bacterial small subunit ribosomal RNA
Source: RNAcentral
GACGAACGCUGGCGGCGUGCCUAAUACAUGCAAGUAGAACGCUGACGGAGGAGCUUGCUCUUCUGGCUGAGUUGCGGACGGGUGAGUAACGCGUAGGUAACCUGCCUGGUAUCGGGGGAUAACUAUUGGAAACGAUAGCUAAUACCGCAUAAGAUAAGAUGUUGCAUUACAUUUACUUAAAAGUUGCAAUUUCAUCACUACCAGAUGGACCUGCGGUGUUUUCGCUAGUUGGGGGGGUAAAGGCUUACCAAGGCGACGAUUCAUAGCCGACGUGAGAGGGUGAACGGCCACCCUGGGACUGGGACAAGGCCCAGACUUCUACGGGAGGCAGCAGGAGGGAAUCUUUGGCAAUGGACGGAAGUCCUACCGAGCAACGCCGCGUGAGGGAAGAAGGUUUUCGGAUCGGAAAGCUCUGUUGUAAGAGAAGAAAGAGUGGGAGGGUGGAAAGUUCACACUGUGACGGUACCUUACCAGAAAGCGACGGCUAACUACGUG